GACGAACGCUGGCGGCGUGCUUAACACAUGCAAGUCGAGCGGUAAGGCCCUUUCGGGGGUACACGAGCGGCGAACGGGUGAGUAACACGUGGGUGACCUGCCUUUAGCUCUGGGAUAAGCCUGGGAAACCGGGUCUAAUACCGGAUAUGACUCCGCGGCGCAUGUUGUGGGGUGGAAAGCCUUGUGCGGCUGGAGAUGGGCCCGCGGCCUAUCAGCUUGUUGGUGGGGUGAUGGCCUACCAAGGCGACGACGGGUAGCCGGCCUGAGAGGGCGACCGGCCACACUGGGACCGAGACACGGCCCAGACUCCUACGGGAGGCAGCAGUGGGGAAUCUUGCGCAAUGGGCGAAAGCCUGACGCAGCGACGCCGCGUGAGGGAUGACGGCCUCGGUUGUAAC
RNAcentral lists this ribosomal RNA (398 nucleotides) under uncultured bacterium. RNAcentral's name for it is "bacterial SSU rRNA". It matches the Rfam family "Bacterial small subunit ribosomal RNA", at positions 28 to 429 of the family's 1533-position model. The record is from RNAcentral.